Molecule: long non-coding RNA, 153 nt
Organism: Sphaeramia orbicularis (orbiculate cardinalfish)
Lineage: Eukaryota; Metazoa; Chordata; Actinopteri; Kurtiformes; Apogonidae
Exons: 3
Source: RefSeq, a predicted model, not a curated record
UUUAAUGAGAAUAGUCUGGCCCGUUUUCAGAACAUUUUAAAAAGCAGAUCAAAGCAGAUUUCUCUGGAUAGGUUUUUAAUGAAACGACCCGCAAGUGCAGACAGUGAUGAAAGUGAGGCCAGAAAGACCAAAUUAAGCCAAGACAGAGAGAAA